This 548-nucleotide ribosomal RNA is filed under the name uncultured Propionibacterium sp. Its description in RNAcentral is "bacterial SSU rRNA". It matches the Rfam family "Bacterial small subunit ribosomal RNA", at positions 320 to 878 of the family's 1533-position model. Lineage: Bacteria; Bacillati; Actinomycetota; Actinomycetes; Propionibacteriales; Propionibacteriaceae. The record is from RNAcentral.
UGAGAUACGGCCCAGACUCNUACGGGAGGCAGCAGUGGGGAAUAUUGCACAAUGGGCGGAAGCCUGAUGCAGCAACGCCGCGUGCGGGAUGACGGCCUUCGGGUUGUAAACCGCUUUCGCCUGUGACGAAGCGUGAGUGACGGUAAUGGGUAAAGAAGCACCGGCUAACUACGCGCCAGCAGCCGCGGUGAUACGUAGGGUGCGAGCGUUGUCCGGAUUUAUUGGGCGUAAAGGGCUCGUAGGUGGUUGAUCGCGUCGGAAGUGUAAUCUUGGGGCUUAACCCUGAGCGUGCUUUCGAUACGGGUUGACUUGAGGAAGGUAGGGGAGAAUGGAAUUCCUGGUGGAGCGGUGGAAUGCGCAGAUAUCAGGAGGAACACCAGUGGCGAAGGCGGUUCUCUGGGCCUUUCCUGACGCUGAGGAGCGAAAGCGUGGGGAGCGAACAGGCUUAGAUACCCUGGUAGUCCACGCUGUAAACGGUGGGUACUAGGUGUGGGGUCCAUUCCACGGGUUCCGCGCCGUAGCUAACGCUUUAAGUACCCCGCCUGGGG